UACGAGGGGAGCAAGCGUUAUCCGCAAUGACUGGGCGUAAAGGGCACGUAGGUUGCAUACAUCAGAGAUCUCCUAAAAGGUUGUGCUCAUAGCAUAAAUAUGGAGUCAACUGGUAUUCUCGAGUAGUGCUCAAGUUUAUAGACUGCUUUCUGAAGGGGUAAAAUCCGGAUAUAGAAAGAAAGAUGCCAUAUGUGGUGAAGGCGAUAUUCUAGAGCUUACUGACGCUGAGGUGCGAAAGUAUGGGGAGCAAAUAGG
RNAcentral lists this ribosomal RNA (255 nucleotides) under uncultured bacterium. RNAcentral's name for it is "partial 16S ribosomal RNA". It matches the Rfam family "Bacterial small subunit ribosomal RNA", at positions 524 to 776 of the family's 1533-position model. The record is from RNAcentral.